Molecule: long non-coding RNA, 367 nt
Organism: Dalotia coriaria
Lineage: Eukaryota; Metazoa; Arthropoda; Insecta; Coleoptera; Staphylinidae
Exons: 2
Source: RefSeq, a predicted model, not a curated record
UGCUGUCGGUAAGCUCAGUAAUACUCUGAGCAAGUUGGGCCUCACAUUCGGUUAUGCACAUUUUAGCAUAGUAUUUUUAAUAAGUGUAAUUAAAAUCUUCUUGAUAAUAAAUUAUACCUGCACACGUGGAUAUCUUGUGGUGUACACUUGCGACUCAGGGUAAUGUGAUGCCGUCAUUUAGCAAAGUAAACGUGCCAAAAUACAUAUAUCAAGUGUGAAUCGAGGCGGUUAUCGCAAUUCAACUAAUUGAAACUAUAGGUGCGUACAAAUGACAUUGACAAAUCUCCAAAUGACAAUCGUUAUCUCUCAUAUGUCAAAUAUACUAAACUUGUGCUUAUUUACUACAUAAAGUAUUUAUAAAAAUUGA